AUGGGCCCCAACCCGUCGCCCAGUCCCAUCACGCGCGUGGCCUGUCAGGCCCCUCCGACUUCCGGGAACCACGUGGCGCCCACGCGAAGCCCGAGGGAUUGCCCCAAGAUUCAGCAGACUCCUCGGUUCCCGCCACGGUCGGGAUGCUACGAUCCGGUUUCUGAGAAAACCGGCACAGAGUGGGUGUUGCCGGACCCGGCGCUCGCAGAAUCCGCCUUGCUUAAGGGGGAAAGUGCGAAGGCCCACUCAUCCAAAGACGGCGGACCUUCACAGCUUCGGGGACUACUGUCGGGGGGAUGGACCCCGGGCAGGCAACGGAACCCGGAUCCUCUUCAAAAACAACGGGGCUAG
RNAcentral lists this ribosomal RNA (351 nucleotides) under Triticum aestivum (bread wheat). RNAcentral describes it as "partial small subunit ribosomal RNA". Lineage: Eukaryota; Viridiplantae; Streptophyta; Magnoliopsida; Poales; Poaceae. The record is from RNAcentral.